RNAcentral lists this small RNA (275 nucleotides) under Octodon degus (degu). RNAcentral describes it as "Metazoan signal recognition particle RNA (ENSODEG00000025844.1)". It matches the Rfam family "Metazoan signal recognition particle RNA", at positions 1 to 200 of the family's 299-position model. From Rfam's summary of the family: The signal recognition particle (SRP) is a universally conserved ribonucleoprotein. It is involved in the co-translational targeting of proteins to membranes. The eukaryotic SRP consists of a 300-nucleotide 7S RNA and six proteins: SRPs 72, 68, 54, 19, 14, and 9. Lineage: Eukaryota; Metazoa; Chordata; Mammalia; Rodentia; Octodontidae. The record is from RNAcentral.
GCUGGGCGUGGUGGCGCGCUCCUGUAGUCCCAGCUACUCGGGAGGCUAAGGUGGGAGGAUCUCUUGAGUCCAGGAGAUCUGGGCUGCGGUGCGCUAUGCCGAUCGGGUGUUCGCACUAAAUUCGGCAUCAAUAUGGUGACCUCCCCGGAGCGGGGGACCACCAGGUUGCCUAAGGAGGGGUGAACCGGCCCAGGUCAGAAUAAAUUCAUGUUGUCAUCAUUUUUGUUACAGUGAAAAUAGGAAAUUAAUACAAUCAGCAACAUAGUAACCUAACA